RNAcentral lists this ribosomal RNA (231 nucleotides) under uncultured bacterium. RNAcentral's name for it is "partial 16S ribosomal RNA". It matches the Rfam family "Bacterial small subunit ribosomal RNA", at positions 99 to 334 of the family's 1533-position model. The record is from RNAcentral.
CGGACGGGUGAGUAAUGUCUGGGAAACUGCCCGAUGGAGGGGGAUAACUACUGGAAACGGUAGCUAAUACCGCAUAACGUCGCAAGACCAAAGAGGGGGACCUUCGGGCCUCUUGCCAUCGGAUGUGCCCAGAUGGGAUUAGCUAGUAGGUGGGGUAACGGCUCACCUAGGCGACGAUCCCUAGCUGGUCUGAGAGGAUGACCAGCCACACUGGAAUGAGACACGGUCCAG